GUCUAGUUAGCCUGGUGGAAAGGCUAUGGAUCGCCAAUCCGGAGAAGGUGGGUUCGAUUCCCGUUCCAGUCU
This is a non-coding RNA of Aedes albopictus (Asian tiger mosquito), 72 nucleotides long. The record is from Rfam. NCBI's taxonomy places the organism in Eukaryota, Metazoa, Arthropoda, Insecta, Diptera, Culicidae.